UCUCUGUCUUUUUCGUGUUUGUUGUACUCUAUUCUGUGUCAUGAAUUUGCAUUGUUAGAGGUGGGUGAACUUUCCCAGAGUUACCAGGUGUAGAUCAGGUUAACUGGAGACAAAAUGCCAGGUCUUCAACAAAUUUUGCUGACUUUGUUGACUCUGGUAACCUAGGCAAGCAGGAGAUUGGGCUGUGAAUCUAGGAGCCAGGACCAGUUGCAGCAUAGCGAUAUGUUAAGCCAUCCUAAGGAGAGGAGGAAAGACCAAGAGAAACACCAAUGUCUGCAAAGAAAGAAGUGAGGCUAUGGAGAAAGAGAGAGACAGAGGAAGAACUUUGGAAGGUCAAGUGUAUUCUUGAGGACAGGAAAAAAAUAAUUACUGUACAUUAAAAAAUAAUAAUCUACUUUUUUUGCUGGAAAAACAAAUCUUUUCAACUUUCGAUUUGUCAAAAAUUACCUGACUUCUAGAACAUACAAUUCAUUAACUAACUCCAUACCAAUAAGUUGUAACAACUACAACAUCUAAAGAUUCAGAAAGACCAUGCAUAGUCUUCGUUUUUGUCAGAGUGGGUAUUUCUUUCAAACAACAGUCAGUUGUUCCAUGUAAUGUUCUACAAGACUGUUCUUUCACUUUACUUUUAAUUCUAACAUAUCUGCUUUUUAUUUAGUAUUCAGAGAGACUCCUUGUUCCCUACAACAGGCAACAAUCCUAUUGCUGUAUUUCAUGAGAAACUUGUUAAGAGCAGAUAGCAAAGAAAGAGCUGAUGGAUUUGGAAAUUCAGGGCUUUCUGAGAAUUAGCAAUAGAAGAGCUGCAGAUGAAGCCCCUUGUGUAAGGGAAAUCAGCUGGAUAACUGAUGGCUGAGAAAGAAAUGAGAGGGGUGAAGAAUGAAUCAGAAAAGAUAGGAAGUGGCUGAGUUGGUAUUUUUAAAUUGGUAUUUGGAGGAUGAAGUGUCCUUGGAUUCAGCUUUAAAUUAAUACUUGAAAGAUUGAGAUCAAAGCCAAAUAUUGAUCCAAAGCCAAACAUCCAUGUGUACCGUCUUUGUGAAAGCAUAAAGGCUUUAAACAGUACUGCAACAAGCUUCCAAGAAAUACUUAAUAGAGAAUGAUAGAUAGACUGGCUCAAGUCUGUUCUCACUUUUGCAUAAGAGCAGAGAGAAAAUGUAAUCCCCAGUCUGGUAUUCUCUCUUCUCUUUAAAUGCAUGACAUAAAUUUAGAAUAAAAAAUGUUACAGACACA
Molecule: long non-coding RNA, 1227 nt
Filed under: Phasianus colchicus (ring-necked pheasant)
Lineage: Eukaryota; Metazoa; Chordata; Aves; Galliformes; Phasianidae
Description: lncRNA (ENSPCLG00000019874.1)
Source: RNAcentral